RNAcentral lists this unclassified non-coding RNA (397 nucleotides) under fungal sp. RNAcentral's name for it is "partial internal transcribed spacer region". The stretch from base 1 to 46 matches the Rfam family "Eukaryotic small subunit ribosomal RNA", at positions 1786 to 1831 of the family's 1831-position model. The record is from RNAcentral. Lineage: Eukaryota; Fungi.
AAGUCGUAACAAGGUUUCCGUAGGUGAACCUGCGGAAGGAUCAUUAACACGUAUCCAAACGUUAAAACCCCCCCCCGUGAACCUUCAUCCUGCUCUUGUAACCCGCGUAGUUCGCAAUCUCUGAUAAAUCAUAGCCCGGAAAGUUGUAGUGAUUCAGAGACCUCUGGCUACGUGCGAACAUUGGAACAGUUACAAUCGAGCGGUAGUUCUAUAGGCAAUGUUUCCCCAAGCGGUCUACAGGAAUCGUAGAAGCGCUAUCCUUGCACAAUCAAUGACACCGUACACUCGGGCAGGAGCUUUGCGAAAGGGUCCCCAUGCCCCCUAAUAACCCCACAGUUUAAUGUGAAGCUCAAUGUAAUAACCGAACAAACUGUUAACAAUGGAUAUCUUGGUUCUC